CAAACUAUAACUCAACAAGCUAAGGGUUUUCUUUCUGCUCCGAAUAAUUCCUCGACAGCAGCUCGCACCUCCUUCUCUUCAUCUCGCGCUCGACGGCGUGGGCCGUUGAUUAGAAGGUGCUGGCGACGAGGACAUCACUUUUGAGCUUUCACGAUUCUUCCGCAUCGACGAAUGGAAGCUCUCUUCAGAGAUGACGGGGCGAGGUGUUGAUUAGAAGGCGCUGGCGAUGAGGACAUCGCUUCCGAGGUUUCACUCCGCGUCGACAUGCGGAAGCUCUCUCCAAGUAACGAGCCAGGUGCAUGGAGAGCCGUAGGUUGAUGGAGUUACUCUAGCAGUUAUUUAUCUAUAUUGUUAGUAGUUUAUGUCAAAACUCCACAGUAGAUGUGUUUAUGAAUAUUUGAGUUAUUAUUCUAGUUUUGUAAAGGCAAUGUGCCUAAAUAUCAUUUUAUUUGAUUUCCUAUGUCGAGACACUUGUAUCCA
Long non-coding RNA from Asparagus officinalis (garden asparagus), 480 nucleotides. RefSeq lists it as uncharacterized. The transcript is spliced from 2 exons. Lineage: Eukaryota; Viridiplantae; Streptophyta; Magnoliopsida; Asparagales; Asparagaceae. The record is from RefSeq and is a predicted model, not a curated record.